GAUGAACGCUGGCGGCGUGCCUAAUACAUGCAAGUCGAGCGAACAGAUGAGGAGCUUGCUCCUCUGACGUUAGCGGCGGACGGGUGAGUAACACGUGGAUAACCUACCUAUAAGACUGGGAUAACUUCGGGAAACCGGAGCUAAUACCGGAUAAUAUAUUGAACCGCAUGGUUCAAUAGUGAAAGACGGUUUUGCUGUCACUUAUAGAUGGAUCCGCGCCGCAUUAGCUAGUUGGUAAGGUAACGGCUUACCAAGGCAACGAUGCGUGGCCGACCUGAGAGGGUGAUCGGCCACACUGGAACUGAGACACGGUCCAGACUCCUACGGGAGGCAGCAGUAGGGAAUCUUCCGCAAUGGGCGAAAGCUUGACGGAGCAACGCCGCGUGAGUGAUGAAGGUCUUCGGAUCGUAAAACUCUGUUAUUAGGGAAGAACAAAUGUGUAAGUAACUAUGCACGUCUUGACGGUACCUAAUCAGAAAGCCACGGCUAACUACGUG
RNAcentral lists this ribosomal RNA (497 nucleotides) under uncultured bacterium. Its description in RNAcentral is "partial 16S ribosomal RNA". It matches the Rfam family "Bacterial small subunit ribosomal RNA", at positions 28 to 507 of the family's 1533-position model. The record is from RNAcentral.